GUGCCAGCCGCCGCGGUAAUACGGGGGGGACUAGCGUUGUUCGGAUCUACUGGGCGUAAAGGGCGUGUAGGCGGGCCUUCAAGUCGGAUGUGAAAACCGGUGGCUUAACCACCGGCCUGCAUACGAUACUGUGGGUCUUGAGUACGAGAGAGGAAAGCGGAAUUCCAGGUGUAGCGGUGAAAUGCGUAGAUAUCUGGAAGAGCACCAGUAGCGAAGGCGGCUUUCUGGCUCGAUACUGACGCUAAAGCGCGAAGGCUAGGGGAGCAAACAGGAUUAGAUACCCGAGUAGUCC
RNAcentral lists this ribosomal RNA (292 nucleotides) under uncultured bacterium. RNAcentral's name for it is "partial 16S ribosomal RNA". It matches the Rfam family "Bacterial small subunit ribosomal RNA", at positions 505 to 796 of the family's 1533-position model. The record is from RNAcentral.